RNAcentral lists this ribosomal RNA (746 nucleotides) under uncultured Parvimonas sp. Its description in RNAcentral is "bacterial SSU rRNA". It matches the Rfam family "Bacterial small subunit ribosomal RNA", at positions 28 to 776 of the family's 1533-position model. Lineage: Bacteria; Bacillati; Bacillota; Tissierellia; Tissierellales; Peptoniphilaceae. The record is from RNAcentral.
GACGAACGCUGGCGGCGUGCUUAACACAUGCAAGUCGAACGUGAUUUUUGUGGAAAGCCCUUCGGGGACGGAAAUGAAAUGAAAGUGGCGAACGGGUGAGUAACACGUGAGCAACCUACCUUACACAGGGGGAUAGCCGUUGGAAACGACGAUUAAUACCGCAUGAGACCACAAAGCCACAUGGCUUAGGGGUAAAAGAUUUAUCGGUGUAAGAUGGGCUCGCGUCUGAUUAGCUAGUUGGAAGGGUAAAGGCCUACCAAGGCAACGAUCAGUAGCCGGUCUGAGAGGAUGAACGGCCACAUUGGAACUGAGACACGGUCCAAACUCCUACGGGAGGCAGCAGUGGGGAAUAUUGCACAAUGGGGGGAACUCUGAUGCAGCGACGCCGCGUGAGCGAUGAAGGCUUUCGAGUCGUAAAGCUCUGUCCUAUGGGAAGAUAAUGACGGUACCAUAGGAGGAAGCCCCGGCUAACUACGUGCCAGCAGCCGCGGUAAUACGUAGGGGGCGAGCGUUGUCCGGAAUCACUGGGCGUAAAGGGUUCGCAGGCGGUCUAUCAAGUCUGAUGUGAAAGGCAUGGGCUUAACCCAUGUAAGCAUUGGAAACUGAUAGACUUGAGUUAAGGAGAGGUAAGUGGAAUUCCUAGUGUAGCGGUGAAAUGCGUAGAUAUUAGGAAGAAUACCGGUGGCGAAGGCGACUUACUGGACUUAAACUGACGCUGAGGAACGAAAGCGUGGGGAGCAAACAGG